RNAcentral lists this unclassified non-coding RNA (413 nucleotides) under soil metagenome. RNAcentral's name for it is "partial contains 5.8S ribosomal RNA, internal transcribed spacer 2, and large subunit ribosomal RNA". The stretch from base 1 to 120 matches the Rfam family "5.8S ribosomal RNA", at positions 35 to 154 of the family's 154-position model. The record is from RNAcentral.
GAUGAAGAACGUAGCGAAAUGCGAUAAGUAAUGUGAAUUGCAGAAUUCAGUGAAUCAUCGAAUCUUUGAACGCACCUUGCGCUCUUUGGUAUUCCGAAGAGCAUGCUUGUUUGAGUGUCAUGAAAAUAUCAACCUUGACUUGGGUUUUGUGCUCUAGUCUCGGCUUGGAAUUGGGUGCUUGCCGCUUUUACGAGCGGCUCACCUUAAAUGUAUUAGCUGGAUCUGUCUUUGAGACUUGGUUUGACUUGGCGUAAUAAGUAUUUCGCUAAGGACAUUCUUCGGAGUGGCCUCGUUUCUAGGACGCUUGUCCGCUUUCCAAUACAAGUUCCACCUCGUGGACAUGACUUUUUAUUAUCUGGCCUCAAAUCAGGUAGGACUACCCGCUGAACUUAAGCAUAUCAAUAAGCGGAGGA